CCUACGGGAGGCAGCAGUGAGGAAUAUUGGUCAAUGGCCGGAAGGCUGAACCAGCCAUGCCGCGUGAAGGUCAGUGCCCCAUGGGCGUUAAACUUCUUUUGUGCGGGAGCAAUAAUGGUCACGUGUGGCCAGACGAGAGUACCGUACGAAUAAGCAUCGGCUAACUCCGUGCCAGCAGCCGCGGUAAUACGGGGGAUGCAAGCAUUAUCCGGGUUUUUUGGGGUUUAAGGGUGCGUAGGCUGUGAGGUAAGUCAGCGGUGAAAUGCCUCCGCUCAACGGGGUGAAGUGCCAUUGAUACUGCCUUGCUGGAAUGCGGAUGCCGUGGGAGGAAUGUGUGGUGUAGCGGUGAAAUGCAUAGAUAUCACACAGAACACCGAUUGCGAAGGCAUCUCACGAAUCCGCGAUUGACGCUGAUGCACGAAAGCGUGGGUAUCAAACAGGAUUAGAUACCCGGGUAGUC
RNAcentral lists this ribosomal RNA (460 nucleotides) under uncultured bacterium. RNAcentral describes it as "partial 16S ribosomal RNA". It matches the Rfam family "Bacterial small subunit ribosomal RNA", at positions 338 to 795 of the family's 1533-position model. The record is from RNAcentral.